This 307-nucleotide small RNA is filed under the name Histoplasma capsulatum var. duboisii H88. RNAcentral's name for it is "Histoplasma capsulatum H88 hypothetical RNA". Lineage: Eukaryota; Fungi; Ascomycota; Eurotiomycetes; Onygenales; Ajellomycetaceae. The record is from RNAcentral.
GUAUGGCUGGGCUUGUGAUAACGUCAUAAACUAUGAGGUUGUUGGCGCCUAUGGUGGGAUUCUCAAUAUCGAUGCUCAGAGACCAGAGAUGUUCUUCGCAUUAUGUGGAGGAGGGAACAAUUUCGGAAUCGUAACCAGGUUCACCGUGAAUAUAUACCCUCAAGGUCCGAUGUGGCAAGGGCUGCGAGAGUUCAGCAUGGAUCACAAACAGGCUGUUCUCGAUACAUACGUGAACCUCGGGAGAGCAAUCAUCAAUGAUCUCAGGAGCAGCAACGGUUUCAUAGCCUUUACCGUCACGCAGGAAGCG